Molecule: ribosomal RNA, 483 nt
Filed under: uncultured bacterium
Lineage: Bacteria
Description: partial 16S ribosomal RNA
Rfam family: Bacterial small subunit ribosomal RNA
Source: RNAcentral
GACGAACGCUGGCGGCGUGCUUAACACAUGCCAGUCAAACGCUGAAGCUCAGCUUUUGUUGGGUGGAUGAGUGGCGAACGGGUGAGUAACACGUGAGUAACCUGCCCCCUUCUUUGGGAUAACGCCCGGAAACGGGUGCUAAUACUGGAUAUUCACUGGUCUUCGCAUGGGGGUUGGUGGAAAGGGUUUUUCUGGUGGGGGAUGGGCUCGCGGCCUAUCAGCUUGUUGGUGGGGUGAUGGCCUACCAAGGCUUUGACGGGUAGCCGGCCUGAGAGGGUGACCGGUCACAUUGGGACUGAGAUACGGCCCAGACUCCUACGGGAGGCAGCAGUGGGGAAUAUUGCACAAUGGGCGCAAGCCUGAUGCAGCGACGCCGCGUGAGGGAUGGAGGCCUUCGGGUUGUGAACCUCUUUCGCUCAUGGUCAAGCCGCAACAAUGGUUGUGGUGAGGGUAGUGGGUAAAGAAGCGCCGGCUAACUACGUG